AGUGUAGCAUGUGAGGGUAAUUAUCUGUGUUCAUUUUCUAAAUGCCCUUCACUGCUGCAGAUUUUACUCUUGGUUACUGGGGGCAAGAGGAGUAGCUGAGCGAGCAAUUGACAUUGGACAUUGUCCCUCAAACUGUGGCUCAGUUUCCCAGAGACAAGUCCUCAAACUUCUGCUCUCAGGAGAAACCACAGAAUUGACCUUGUGAUCAGUGUGGCAGUGUGGAUUAGUAGCUUCUCUGUGUGGAUUCAGGUGAUUUUGAGGCAGAGGAGGUUGGAACCAAAGGUGGUAGCCGUGGUGAGGGCUGCAUGCGCAGUGUGUGAGGACUGGUCAGGGACUGGAAGCCUUGGGAUCAAUAACAGCUCAAGAGAACCUGGCUCUUAAAGACAGUUGAGGAAGGGCCUGGGUUCGGUUCCGGCCAGACGACCAGGGUCCUUUCUGUGUGGAGUUUGCCUGAUCUCCCUGUGUCUGCAUGGGUUUCCUCCGGUUUCCUCCCACAGUCCAAAGACGUGCGGUCAGGCCAAUGGGGCACGCUAAACUGCCCCUAGGUGUGAAGGUGUGUGUGACUGUAUGUGUCUGUGUCUGCCCUGUGAUGCACCAGUGACCGGGGUUUUUUGCCUUCCACCUAAUGACCACUGGGAUAGGCUCCAGCAACCCCUGCGUGUGCGUGCUAUGCUGUAUUUCUUUAUAUGAUUGGUUGAUAUGCAUUUAAGGGUCAAACAGCUGUCAGUAA
Long non-coding RNA from Pygocentrus nattereri (red-bellied piranha), 730 nucleotides. The record is from Ensembl. NCBI's taxonomy places the organism in Eukaryota, Metazoa, Chordata, Actinopteri, Characiformes, Serrasalmidae.